Molecule: ribosomal RNA, 464 nt
Filed under: uncultured bacterium
Lineage: Bacteria
Description: bacterial SSU rRNA
Rfam family: Bacterial small subunit ribosomal RNA
Source: RNAcentral
GACGAACGCUGGCGGCGUGCUUAACACAUGCAAGUCGAGCGAUGAAGCACCUUCGGGUGUGGAUUAGCGGCGAACGGGUGAGGAACACGUGAGGAAUCUGCCUUCCACUCUGGGAUAACUCCGGGAAACCGGGGCUAAUACCGGAUACUUUCAACUGGCGGCAUCGCCGGUUGAAGAAAGUUUUUCGGUGGAAGAUGACCUCGCGGCCUAUCAGCUUGUUGGUGAGGUAAUGGCUCACCAAGGCAACGACGGGUAGCCGGCCUGAGAGGGCGACCGGCCACACUGGGACUGAGACACGGCCCAGACUCCUACGGGAGGCAGCAGUGGGGAAUAUUGGGCAAUGGAGGAAACUCUGACCCAGCGACGCCGCGUGAGGGAUGAAGGCCUUCGGGUUGUAAACCUCUUUCAGCAGGGAAUAAGCGAAAGUGACGGUACCUACAGAAGAAGCACCGGCUAACUAUGUG